UGGGGAAUUUUGGACAAUGGGCGCAAGCCUGAUCCAGCCAUGCCGCGUGCAGGAUGAAGGCCUUCGGGUUGUAAACUGCUUUUGUACGGAACGAAAAGGUGCCUUCUAAUAAAGGGCGCUCAUGACGGUACCGUAAGAAUAAGCACCGGCUAACUACGUGCCAGCAGCCGCGGUAAUACGUAGGGUGCGAGCGUUAAUCGGAAUUACUGGGCGUAAAGCGUGCGCAGGCGGUUUUGUAAGACAGAUGUGAAAUCCCCGGGCUUAACCUGGGAACUGCGUUUGUGACUGCAAGGCUGGAGUACGGCAGAGGGGGGUGGAAUUCCACGUGUAGCAGUGAAAUGCGUAGAGAUGUGGAGGAACACCGAUGGCGAAGGCAGCCCCCUGGGCCUGUACUGACGCUCAUGCACGAAAGCGUGGGGAGCAAACA
RNAcentral lists this ribosomal RNA (427 nucleotides) under uncultured bacterium. RNAcentral's name for it is "bacterial SSU rRNA". It matches the Rfam family "Bacterial small subunit ribosomal RNA", at positions 355 to 774 of the family's 1533-position model. The record is from RNAcentral.